CACCUGGUUGAUCCUGCCAGUAGUCAUAUGCUUGUCUCAAAGAUUAAGCCAUGCAUGUCUAAGUAUAAGCUUUAAACGGCGAAACUGCGAAUGGCUCAUUAAAACAGUUAUAGUUUAUUUGGUGAUCGAUUACUAUUUGGAUAACCGUAGUAAUUCUAGAGCUAAUACAUGCGUCAAGGCCCGACUUCGGAAGGGCUGCGUUUAUUAGAUACAGAACCAACCUAGGCUCCGCCUAGUCCUUGUUGGUGAUUCAUAAUAACCCGGCGAAUCGCACGGCUUGUCCGGCGAUGGACCAUUCAAGUUUCUGACCUAUCAGCUAUGGACGGUAGGGUAUUGGCCUACCGUGGCGUUGACGGGUAACGGGGAAUUAGGGUUCGAUUCCGGAGAGGGAGCCUGAGAAACGGCUACCACAUCUAAGGAAGGCAGCAGGCGCGCAAAUUACCCAAUCCUGAUACAGGGAGGUAGUGACAAGAAAUAACAAUACAGGGCAAUUCUGUCUUGUAAUUGGAAUGAGUAGAUUUUAAAUCUCUUUACGAGUAUCAAUUGGAGGGCAAGUCUGGUGCCAGCAGCCGCGGUAAUUCCAGCUCCAAUAGCGUAUAUUAAAGU
Molecule: non-coding RNA, 606 nt
Filed under: Perkinsus marinus ATCC 50983
Lineage: Eukaryota; Perkinsozoa; Perkinsida; Perkinsidae
Description: Eukaryotic small subunit ribosomal RNA
Rfam family: Eukaryotic small subunit ribosomal RNA
Source: Rfam by way of RNAcentral